This 399-nucleotide ribosomal RNA is filed under the name uncultured bacterium. RNAcentral describes it as "bacterial SSU rRNA". It matches the Rfam family "Bacterial small subunit ribosomal RNA", at positions 357 to 773 of the family's 1533-position model. The record is from RNAcentral.
GGGAAUAUUGGACAAUGGGCGCAAGCCUGAUCCAGCAAUGCCGCGUGUGUGAAGAAGGUCUUCGGAUUGUAAAGCACUUUCGACGGGGACGAUGAUGACGGUACCCGUAGAAGAAGCCCCGGCUAACUUCGUGCCAGCAGCCGCGGUAAUACGAAGGGGGCUAGCGUUGCUCGGAAUGACUGGGCGUAAAGGGCGCGUAGGCGGCUUGUACAGUCAGAUGUGAAAUUCCCGGGCUUAACCUGGGGGCUGCAUUUGAUACGUGCGGGCUAGAGUGUGAAAGAGGGUCGUGGAAUUCCCAGUGUAGAGGUGAAAUUCGUAGAUAUUGGGAAGAACACCGGUGGCGAAGGCGGCGACCUGGUUCAUGACUGACGCUGAGGCGCGAAAGCGUGGGGAGCAAAC